UACGAAGGGGGCUAGCGUUGCUCGGAAUCGCUGGGCGUAAAGCGCACGUAGGCGGAUUGCUAAGUCAGGGGUGAAAUCCUGGAGCUCAACUCCAGAACUGCCUUUGAUACUGGCGACCUUGAGUCCGGGAGAGGUGAGUGGAACUGCGAGUGUAGAGGUGAAAUUCGUAGAUAUUCGCAAGAACACCAGUGGCGAAGGCGGCUCACUGGCCCGAUACUGACGCUGAGGUGCGAAAGCGUGGGGAGCAAACAGG
Molecule: ribosomal RNA, 253 nt
Filed under: uncultured bacterium
Lineage: Bacteria
Description: partial 16S ribosomal RNA
Rfam family: Bacterial small subunit ribosomal RNA
Source: RNAcentral